This is a long non-coding RNA of Cyprinus carpio carpio, 3543 nucleotides long. The record is from Ensembl. NCBI's taxonomy places the organism in Eukaryota, Metazoa, Chordata, Actinopteri, Cypriniformes, Cyprinidae.
GAACCGAACUGCAGUGCAGAGCCGGAAUGGGGGGCUUGGCCCCAAUCCAGCACGGUCAAAAUUAGCUCUCUGUUGAAUUACAUGCAGUCAGCCAGUGGAAGCGGCUGAGAUCCUGACGCCCCAGUCCCGCAGCCUUGUAUGGGGGGUCCAAACCCCGCAAGGCUGCUGCUCGGCUCCGCUUUCGUCCAAGAAAGCCUUUUCCAACAGCAACUUUACAGCAAGGGACAAGAACAAAGACUUUAUCUAGCUGACGGCUGUGUUCCUGAACCCGGUGGCACGGAGAGGAACGACCACGAAAGAUCGACAUUCCUUCUGUCUGAUGCAGGAUAGAGAACGGCCCUCUGGGGAAAUUGUAUCCUCAUGUUUAUUCUUUUUUAUUUCCUAAAUCAUGUAUAUCUUUAUUUUUUAUGGUUAUGGCGUGCGGUACAGAUGAAUUAUGACGCUGGGGCUGUUUCCCCAUCUAUGUGAUUAAUAACAUUUUAGAAAAACCUGGGACUCUAAGCCUUGAUGAUAUGUUCUUCGGAGGGGGCGGCAGUAAAGACACACAGCACCUCAAGACAGACUGGAGCUUCACUAAAGACCCACAUGUCUGUGUUUGUAAACUCCAAAGGGGCCCUCGGGGGUCCGGCGGCAGCGGCACGUCUUCCACUUGUCCACUUCAACUUCACACGGCUGGACUCUUUCAUACCUCUGUGAACAAACCCACCGAGAAAUGUUAAUGAUGUUCUGUAUUGACAUGCAAUGUGACAAACGCCACGUGUUUUUAACAACAUCAGGGUUCCCACAUGGACAAACAGAACUGGUGUCUUCACUCAAAAAUUGGUGAAGAAACUAUUUCUACACAUAAAGAAAUUUCACAAAAAAAAAAAAAAAAAAUAUUUUCAAUCAGAAAUUAAAAACAUUUUUACAAAAAAAAAAAAAAGAAUUGACAAAUUUAAAUCAGAAAUUAAAUGUCACCCAAAAAUUGGUGUAGAAACAAUUUUCAAUCAUAAACUAAUUCCACCAAAAAAAAAAAAAAAAAUGUAGAAACAAUUUUCAGUCAGAAAUUGGAAGUCAAUUUCAAAAGUAAUUACAAAUAAUUAAAAGGCCGAAAAAGUAUAUUCUUGCAAAACAUACUCAUAUAAUCUGUUUUAUUUGGAACUUUGAUUUUAUAUUUCUUAUUUCUUAACAGUGCAUGGUCAAAUAUCAGUGAAUCCUAAGAUUGUGAUAGCUCUGGAAAGUACAUGAAAAUGUAUAGAAUUGUGUUAAAGUCAUGGAAAGUGAAUAUGAUUUCUGUUUUUUGAGUUAUGCGCUGCUCUUAAUUAUUUAAUCGUCUAGAAAUUGUUCCAUAACGUGAUUUUUGAAACUGAUCAGUUGCACUGAAGCAAUGCGACACAUACCUUACAGUAUUUACUAAUUGCCAAACUUACAUUUUUUGAUUAUGUAUAACCCCGCAGCAUAAAAUCAGUCAUAAGGGUCAAUUUUUUCAAAACUGAGAUUUAUGCAUCAUCUGAAAGCUGAAUAAAUAAUCUCUCCAUUGAUGUAUGGUUUGUUAGGAGGACAAUAUUUGUCUGAGAUACAACUAUUUGAAAAUCUGGAAUCUGAGGGAGCAAAAAAAUCUAAAUAUUGAGAAAAUCAUCUUUAAAGUUGUUCAAAUGAAGUUCUUAACAAUGCAUAUUACUAAUCAAAAAUUAAGUUUUGAUAUAUUUACAGUAGGACAUUUACUAAAUAUCUUCAUGGAACAUGAUCUUUACUUAAUAUGCUAAUGAUUUUUGGUAUAAAAGAAAAAUCUAUAAUUUUGACCCAUACAAUGUAUUGUUGUCUAUUGCUACAAAUACACCCCAGAGACUUGAUUUUGUGCUCCAGGGACACAUAUGCAACAUUUAUUUACUUAAAAUUCUCUAAAAAGCAUUCAAAACCAAAACUAGCCCUUCUGUUAGCCCAGGGCCGUUUCGACAGUAUCGGCAAAUAUAUCAAUCUAUCACUACCAAAACACACUCACAGAAGCACACUUUGACGUCCCUCUCGGAUCCAUCCAUACGUCUUCAUCACUAAACCAUGUCAGCGUCACUCAAUACUCACACCUUACAGUAUUUACUAAGGCUAAGAGUCCCCACUUCUCAUGCAGUUACUAAAAAAAAGCUACAGAGUUCAUCUUUUUUGUUUCAUUUUUUUUUUUAGAAUAUGCUUGUUAAGUUUGCUUUUUAACUUUUUUUGUUGCUUUGCCAGUAUAUUAAAGUGUAAUCAUGUACGUUGUGAUUUAGAAAUAGCUGUAGAGAUGCAUUGUUUCCUUGUGGUAAGUGACUGAGAUGCUGCCACGGAUUUGAGACACUGAUGAAUGGUGCUAUUUUGGACUUUAAUCUGCUCCUUGGGUAAGGAAGCUCAGAUGGGUUUGAUUUUAUAUUUUCAUGUUCGGAGGAGGUGUUGGUUCUUUGUUGUCUGGUUGUCGUAACUCGGAUCGGAUCGACUUUACUCCCCCUUGUUGUUUCUGUGUGGCUUUCUCAUUGGACAGAAAAACAGAUUCGCCGAAGAGUUGGUGUUUGGUUUAGUUUUUUUUACUCCAAGAGGAUUACUUGCAAAAUUCUCAAACUAUAGACAGUCGGAGCAAUCACAAAACUGCAAUUCUCAACACUAUUUACCCUUUAAUGUAAAGGUUUAAUUCGAGGAGUAGUUACAGUUCCUGGCACUUUAGUCACUCUCAUACUUGCAGGACGGGGUAGCUUACGCAGCCGAUCUCACGUUUUUGUUCAGCGACGAACUUCUAAUAAAUCAAGGACACAUUCAUAUGUGUGAAACUCUGAGGAUGCAGCCGCUGUUGUAUUUUGCUGUGCACGGUCCCAGGUGACGGUGGUCUACAUAGUGUACAUAUACAAGGCAGCUGAGGUCAGAUUUAUCAUUCCACAGAAGUCUAACAAGGACAUAAACACUCAUCCGUUUAGCACACGGGGUCCUUCGAUGUAUUUUCAAAGGCAAAACAUGUAGCAGCAAAACCAACGCAGACGGUUUUGUGCAUGAGUUUCCUGGAUUUUAGGAUGAGAACCAAAAGUUUUAUAUUUAUUCAUUUAAGCAGCACAGUAUCGUCACUCGGUAUUUGCAGUUUUGUCUUUGCUUCCAGUUCACAUGCGUUUAAAAAUCCCAAUUCAGAGUCCGACUGGAAAGCCCACGUUAGUUUCUUAGUCUUCCAUUUAUUUUCCCACGACUCCCAGCUUGCUCUAGUCUCUCCUUUAGUGCUUACUGAUCGCAUGCUCUCUGCUCUUCCUUCUGUUUCUGAUCUGAAUGAUUCUCCUCGCGUUUCUUCUCAUAGAUUAGAUAUGCCAACUGUGUUGUAAAUAGCCAGUGAAUAGCUUAUAGUAUGUUGAAUUAUUCUGUAAUAACUGUGUAUGAUUGGUGUACAAAACAUGAAGUCUAGCCUUGUCAUCUUUAUAAGGAUGCACAGGUAUAUAUCAUGUUAUUUUGCAACUUAAGCUGUAGUUGAAUAAAUAUGCAAGCUCUCGUUAUUCUCAGUGUUGUUUAUUGCUCUUGUAAUUCAAAUCUUGCAUUAACGUUGAAAAGUUUUUUUUUUUU